This 311-nucleotide ribosomal RNA is filed under the name uncultured bacterium. RNAcentral describes it as "bacterial SSU rRNA". It matches the Rfam family "Bacterial small subunit ribosomal RNA", at positions 28 to 334 of the family's 1533-position model. The record is from RNAcentral.
GAUGAACGCUAGCGGCAGGCCUAACACAUGCAAGUCGAGGGGUAACAGAGAGUGCUUGCACUUUGCUGACGACCGGCGCACGGGUGCGGAACGCGUAUGGAACCUACCUUUAUCAGGAGAAUAGCCCAGAGAAAUUUGGAUUAAUGCUCCAUAGAAUUGUAUUAACACAUGUUAAUUUAAUUAAAGAUUUAUCGAAUAGAGAUGGCCAUGCGUACCAUUAGUUAGUUGGUAAGGUAACGGCUUACCAAGACCGCGAUGGUUAGGGGCCCUGAGAGGGGGAUCCCCCACACUGGUACUGAGACACGGACCAG